RNAcentral lists this ribosomal RNA (392 nucleotides) under uncultured bacterium. Its description in RNAcentral is "partial 16S ribosomal RNA". It matches the Rfam family "Bacterial small subunit ribosomal RNA", at positions 523 to 918 of the family's 1533-position model. The record is from RNAcentral.
AUACGGAAGGUCCGGGCGUUAUCCGGAUUUAUUGGGUUUAAAGAGAGCGCAGGCGGCCUUUUAAGCGUGACGUGAAAUGUAGGCGCUCAACGUCUGAAUUGCGUCGCGAACUGUUAGGCUUGAGUAGACGGAAUGUCGGCGGAAUUCGUGGUGUAGCGGUGAAAUGCUUAGAUAUCACGAAGAACUCCGAUUGCGAAGGCAGCUGACAGCAGUUUUACUGACGCUCAUGCUCGAAAGUGCGGGUAUCGAACAGGAUUAGAUACCCUGGUAGUCCGCACGGUAAACGAUGGAUGCCCGCUGUUUGCUUUUUUAGUAAGCGGCCAAGCGAAAGCAUUAGGCAUCCCACCUGGGGAGUACGCCGGCAACGGUGAAACUCAAAUGAAUUGACGGGG